RNAcentral lists this non-coding RNA (100 nucleotides) under uncultured Deefgea sp. Its description in RNAcentral is "Glycine riboswitch". It matches the Rfam family "Glycine riboswitch aptamer", at positions 8 to 87 of the family's 94-position model. Rfam says of the family: This family represents the bacterial glycine riboswitch. Lineage: Bacteria; Pseudomonadati; Pseudomonadota; Betaproteobacteria; Neisseriales; Chitinibacteraceae. The record is from RNAcentral.
ACAGCAGGAGAGUGUGAUUUUUACCAUUUGUUGGAUUUAAAUCACCACCGAAGGCGCAAAUGCACCCGCAAAUCGCUCAGGUAUCAGGGACUGCUGGCAA